UACCUGUUGACCGAGCGAGGAGUCCUCUGUUUUCCUCCAGCACGUGAACAAGGAUGAGGAAAGCGUGAGCGUCUCCUUCCCUUUCCUUUUCCCUUUCUCCUCAAUUGAACCAGAGCAAAACCCUAGGCUCCCUCUUCCCCUUGUGCCGCCGCUGCCUCCUCUGCUCCUCCAAGCGCCCAGCCAGAACCACAUCCGAGAGCCACCAAAAGUUUCGCCGGAGAAGACCAAGACCGCGCCGUCGAACCAAACCGCUGCGUCGCCGUCCGAGCACGGGGAUGGAGCCGCCGUGGCGCCCUCUCCCUCCUCGCUGAACCGGAGUUGGAGCUGCUCGAGAACGUCGCCGCCGCCAAGACGUACCUGGAGCGCCGCCGUGCACGCCGACGACCUCCGCUUCGCCCCGCCGUCGUCUCCAUCCUCCCCAACCUUCUCCCUUGACGUGCUCGCCGUGUGUGCUGCCAGAGCCUCAACAGCGUCAUCUUGGUCGGGCUUCGUCUGGUUUCUUUCAAAGGGCUGAGCCCCUCUUCAGUCAUCAGUUAAUCUAGCAGUUCGCCUGUUCCAUCUGCACCUAAGACGCCGGUACCGAGGAGUACGGUGAGGAGUACGACUACUACCCCGAGGAGGAUCGUGCCGGUUUCUCUUCUUCUGACUUGACAUGCGAGCAUUUUUUCCCUGCUACCUAUUUCUGCUUUUGCCUCUUUACCUUACUGCUAUUCUGGUGUGCCGUUCUUGUCACGUAUCCUAUCGCAUGUCACCUACUGCAAGCCUUAGACCCAUACAUAUAUCCUACAGCUGUUGUUUGGUUACAGGGUCAGCCAUGCGAGUCGUAGGCUUGCUUAGUACCGUUAUUACAUUGCUACUAUUAUUGUUGUCGUCAUCGUUAUCUAGUUGGGUUAUAUUUGUUGGGGGGUUCCGAGAUACAUGCUUAUGGUUAUAUCUGUUCGAUAAGUUCACACCUUACUCAUUGAUGCUAAUAAUAAAAUUGCUAAGUAGAGGCAUCGGUGGGUCAGCUGAUUUUUCGCUUUGAACACGGCUCACUUGUGUCCACUGAUAUCUUAGGAUCCCGAGUUCUUGUCAUCUGAUCCAAGACUGAGUGCACUAACCAUACGUGGGGUUCAGUGGGGCCCCCUCGACUAAUUUCUGAACUACUUCCAUUGUCCAAGUGCCACAACUAGUAUUUGGUGUGUUUACUCUUUUAUCGCGUGCAUGCCAGCAUGUUACUUAUUUAUGUUGGGAAGCCCCUGGGUGCCUUGUAUCCCUUGUUUCUGGUAUGCACGUAUAGGUCGCGGAGCCUCUGCGAAGUGGUUUAUCGCCCCAGUGUGUGCUAAACCCCCUAGCACGUUGACGCAUAUAGCUAGGUCCGCCUCGGAGACUCGGCCGAACUCCGUAACGGGUUUAACUUAGUUAGGUGGCUCUUGGACUUGGUCUGUGGUGAAGGGAGAGGUAGUGUCGUGAUACUCUGCUUUGAUCCAGUCGGGUUGACCGAGCGUAUGAGACCAGUAGUGCAUCCCUGCAGGGUUACAAUCUUUUCGAAAAGCCGUGUCCGCGGUUAUGGACGACUUGGAGAAGUGUUACUUGAUCAUAGACAAUUUUCACCCUUUAUCUGCUAAUUAACUUGCGUAGUAAUUAGCAGAAUUGUAAUAAAAACUGGUUAAAACUGUAAACCGUGUGAGUGCCUUUGCAUCUUCUUCCUGUAGCAUGUAGAAGGGGGAAUGUAUCGGCUGCGUUAUGUUUGCAGAGUUUUAGAACUGUUAGAUGCACGCUCUCUUAUCUAUAUCUUGCAGACGGAAAGUUGAGAGUGUAUCUAUAGGUUGUAGUGCAAGCUUUGCUGCCGCUAAACCCACCAUAUAGCCGGCGAGCGCAGCCAAUAUUCUAAGUCUCGCUGGGUACGCGCCUUGGUACUCACCCUCGCUUUUCCUCUCU
This is a long non-coding RNA of Lolium perenne, 1920 nucleotides long. RefSeq lists it as uncharacterized. Lineage: Eukaryota; Viridiplantae; Streptophyta; Magnoliopsida; Poales; Poaceae. The record is from RefSeq and is a predicted model, not a curated record.